Molecule: long non-coding RNA, 566 nt
Organism: Elaeis guineensis (African oil palm)
Lineage: Eukaryota; Viridiplantae; Streptophyta; Magnoliopsida; Arecales; Arecaceae
Source: RefSeq, a predicted model, not a curated record
CCUCACAAACUCCCCUCUCGAGAGCGCGCCUUCGCCCCCCUUCCCCCGAACCCCUUCGAAGGCACACCAUGGCAGCCUCAAGCCCGUUGCUUCUUCUCUUCUCCAAAUCUCCUGGGAGCGUCUUGGUCCCUCGUUACGAAGAGAAGGCAAAGGAAGCUCAGCCAUGUCGCCAAUUGGCCGUAGGAAGGGAACUGGCGGUCUUAUUUCCUCAGAAAGAUCGAAGAUUGAUGAGAUUGCUUUAUCACAGUAACCUAGCCAGCUUUGUAGCCAAACAACUAUUUCUACUGUUGAUGAUCUUUUACAGAUUCAAGAGAGGAAGACUAUUAACGAGAUAAAGAAGAGACUAUAUGUGGGACAAUCGCUAUGAUGAUGAGCAUCGACACGGAGCGUGGGUGGUUUUAUAACUCUUGCAAGAAAUACACUAACAAAGUUAUUCUGGAUGGCUCUAGAUUUUACUACGAGAAAUGUAAUGGACUUGUGAAUUCUGUUGUACCUAGGUAAAGAUGUAAAAUAAAUUGACUGAUGGAUAUUUAUGUUAAUAUCAUUUGCACUAAUUUUAUCUCCAA